Molecule: ribosomal RNA, 609 nt
Filed under: Symmetrospora oryzicola
Lineage: Eukaryota; Fungi; Basidiomycota; Cystobasidiomycetes; Symmetrosporaceae
Description: eukaryotic LSU rRNA
Rfam family: Eukaryotic large subunit ribosomal RNA
Source: RNAcentral
GGAAAAGAAACUAACAAGGAUUCCCCUAGUAACGGCGAGUGAAGUGGGAAAAGCUCAACUUUAAAAUCUGGCAGCUUCGCUGUCCGAGUUGUAGUCUCGAGAAGUGUUUUCCGCGCUGGAUCGUGUAUGAGUCUGUUGGAAUACAGCGUCAUAGAGGGUGAGAACCCCGUUCAUGACACGACUACCAGUGCUUUGUGAUACACUUUCGAUGAGUCGAGUUGUUUGGGAAUGCAGCUCAAAAUGGGUGGUAAAUUCCAUCUAAAGCUAAAUAUUGGCGAGAGACCGAUAGCAAACAAGUACCGUGAGGGAAAGAUGAAAAGCACUUUGGAAAGAGAGUUAACAGUACGUGAAAUUGUCGAAAGGGAAACGCUUGAAGUCAGACGUGCGCGGUGCGAUUCAGCCUUGGUUCGCCAGGGUGUACUUCGUACCAUUGCAGGCCAGCAUCGGUUUUGUGAGCCGGAUAAAGGUUAGAGGAAGGUAGCGGUCCAGGCCGUGUUAUAGCCUCUAACUGAAUACGGAUUGUGAGACCGAGGGACGCAGCGCGCCGCAAGGCAAAGGGUCCGCCCUUUUCGCGCUUAGGAUGCUGGUGAAAUGGCUUUAAACGACCCG